GUGCCCUACGGGAGGCAGCAGUAGGGAAUUUUCGUCAAUGGGCGCAAGCCUGAACGAGCAAUGCCGCGUGAACGAGGAAGGUCUUCGGAUCGUAAAGUUCUGUUGAAGGGGAAAAAGAGCGGAGAGAGGAAAUGAACUCCGAUUGAUAUUACCCUUCGAGGAAGUCACGGCUAACUACGUGCCAGCAGCCGCGGUAAUACGUAGGUGGCGAGCGUUAUCCGGAAUUAUUGGGCGUAAAGGGAGCGUAGACGGGGUGGCAAGUCUGAAGUGAAAGCCCGGGGCUCAACCCCGGUGCUGCUUUGGAA
This 305-nucleotide ribosomal RNA is filed under the name uncultured bacterium. RNAcentral's name for it is "bacterial SSU rRNA". It matches the Rfam family "Bacterial small subunit ribosomal RNA", at positions 334 to 631 of the family's 1533-position model. The record is from RNAcentral.